GUUGCCCAGGAGCGAUCAUCCCCACCGUGCCGCUGCGUACACAGCGCGCAGCAAAGCGCCGUGCCAGGGCUGUGCGGGUGGAGCGCGUCGCCCUCCAGCUGUGCUGCAGUCGCCUGUGGGAAGGAGGAGCUCUACGCAGAACCCUGUUCCCUGUCGUUCUGUCCAGGGUGUCAGGUCCCGAGAAGGAGGAGCCCGCGGAUGAACAGAAAACAAUCUGGAAACGUCCACAUUGUGAAAACUGAGAGGACCCUGAUGACUGAUAGACUUCCUUCGGUGCAGAAAGUAAUAAAACAAUAAAAUGCCUUUAUUGUG
Long non-coding RNA from Chinchilla lanigera (long-tailed chinchilla), 312 nucleotides. RefSeq lists it as uncharacterized. The record is from RefSeq and is a predicted model, not a curated record. The transcript has 2 exons. Lineage: Eukaryota; Metazoa; Chordata; Mammalia; Rodentia; Chinchillidae.